GAUGAACGCUGGCGGCGUGCCUAAUACAUGCAAGUCGAGCGAACAGACGAGGAGCUUGCUCCUCUGACGUUAGCGGCGGACGGGUGAGUAACACGUGGAUAACCUACCUAUAAGACUGGGAUAACUUCGGGAAACCGGAGCUAAUACCGGAUAAUAUAUUGAACCGCAUGGUUCAAUAGUGAAAGACGGUUUUGCUGUCACUUAUAGAUGGAUCCGCGCCGCAUUAGCUAGUUGGUAAGGUAACGGCUUACCAAGGCAACGAUGCGUAGCCGACCUGAGAGGGUGAUCGGUCACACUGGAACUGAGACACGGUCCAGACUCCUACGGGAGGCAUCAGUAGGGAAUCUUCCGCAAAGGGCGAAAGCCUGACGGAGCAACGCCGCGUGAGUGAUGAAGGUCCUCGGAUCGUAAAACUCUGUUAUUAGGGAAGAACAAAUGUGUAAGUAACUAUGCACGUCUUGACGGUACCUAAUCAGAAAGCCACGGCUAACUACGUG
This 497-nucleotide ribosomal RNA is filed under the name uncultured bacterium. Its description in RNAcentral is "partial 16S ribosomal RNA". It matches the Rfam family "Bacterial small subunit ribosomal RNA", at positions 28 to 507 of the family's 1533-position model. The record is from RNAcentral.